AGUAUGAAGUUGGAAAUGGCACCCAACGCGCUAUCUAUAUGAUAGUAACCAGAGAUGCAGGAUACGCCGACCUGCCUUAUU
This 81-nucleotide non-coding RNA is filed under the name Clostridium nigeriense. Its description in RNAcentral is "skipping-rope RNA". It matches the Rfam family "skipping-rope RNA". From Rfam's summary of the family: Firmicutes, Fusobacteria, AlphaProteobacteria, Spirochaetes. Downstream gene Lineage: Bacteria; Bacillati; Bacillota; Clostridia; Eubacteriales; Clostridiaceae. The record is from RNAcentral.